AGAGUUUGAUCCUGGCUCAGGACGAACGCUGGCGGCAGGCUUAACACAUGCAAGUCGAACGAACUCUUCGGAGUGAGUGGCAGACGGGUGCGUAACACGUGGGAACCUACCCUAAGGUACGGAACAACACCGAGAAAUUGGUGCUAAUACCGUAUGUGCCCUUCGGGGGAAAGAUUUAUCGCCUUAGGAUGGGCCCGCGGCAGAUUAGAUAGUUGGUGGGGUAAUGGCCUACCAAGUCGACGAUCUGUAGCUGGUCUGAGAGGAUGAUCAGCCACACUGGGACUGAGACACGGCCCAGACUCCUACGGGAGGCAGCAGUGGGGAAUAUUGGGCAAUGGGCGAAAGCCUGACCCAGCCAUGCCGCGUGAGUGAUGAAGGCCUUAGGGUUGUAAAACUCUUUCGCCGGUGAAGAUAAUGACGGUAACCGGUAAAGAAGCCCCGGCUAAUUUCGUGCCAGCAGCCGCGGUAAUACGAAAGGGGCUAGCGUUGUUCGGAAUUACUGGGCGUAAAGCGCGCGUAGGCGGGCUAGCAAGUUGGGGGUGAAAUGCCGGAGCUCAACUCCGGAACUGCCUCCAAAACUGCUAGCCUAGAGGAUGUGAGAGGAUAGUGGAAUUCCGAGUGUAGAGGUGAAAUUCGUAGAUAUUCGGAAGAACACCAGUGGCGAAGGCGACUGUCUGGCACAUUUCUGACGCUGAGUGCGAA
RNAcentral lists this ribosomal RNA (702 nucleotides) under uncultured bacterium. RNAcentral describes it as "bacterial SSU rRNA". It matches the Rfam family "Bacterial small subunit ribosomal RNA", at positions 8 to 757 of the family's 1533-position model. The record is from RNAcentral.